AAAAGGGUGGCCCAAUUCACAAUGGACUUUUAAUCAACUGCUAUAGUGAUCAAGCCUGAUAAAUACUCACCAAUUUGUAAAUUUAUUUGGACGACUUUUUUUGUUCAAACUUGCACCUCUCUUUCUUCCUUUUACUCCCUUUAACACGUGUGCAUGCAGCAUGUAAACACACAAUUCUAUGCUCCAUUCCCUGCCGAUUGUGCAUUCACAGUAUCAAAAGUUAUACAUUUUGUGGCUCAUGACUUUCUUUCUCUUACAGCUUACAGUUUCUUUCCUUUCUUACUUUUAGGCAGUUCCUUUUAAUGAAAAAAAAAAUCUUGUUAUUUUUGAAAAUUCAAAUGCUAAACCCCUUCUCUUAAUCAAGUCCAAACUUCUCCCAUAUCUAAGGGUAUUUUCCCAGUUUUUAUGGAAAUUCACAAUUUUGAAGAAAUGCGAUAGUUUCGGUUUUAUAUUAGACACAUCGAUUUUAACCUUGAGCUGACCCCGUUUAGUUGGGAUAAGAUUUAGAUGAUGACAACAGAGAUUUGAACCUAACUUGUCACAGGUUUGCUGACACAUACAUCCAAUCAAUGUUUCAAACACAUUUGAUCAAUUUUUAGCUUUGUUCUCUGCAAAGAGAUAGGGAACCUACUUUGAUUUUUGUUUAUACUUACCUGAACGGGUGCUAUUUUGAAUUUUGUUUUGACUUUUCCAAUUUCACCUAUGAAUGUUUGACGUUCUUUCUUUCAUUCUUUCUUUCCUUUGUUGUUGUUGUUGUUGUUUUGUUAAAUUGUGUUAUUGAUUUACUGGUAUGUUGUGCGGCUGGGUGAAUAGGUUUUUGUGCAGUCGGAUGUGCUGGAAGUGGCACUUGACAUGAGGAAUCAAUUUGAUGCCCGGCCUGAUGAAUUUGAACACAUGGAUGCUCUUGAUCCCAAUAUUCUAUGUGACCCCGAAGGAUGGCUCUUAAGCAACCCACUGGGAAUUCGAACUGAAAGAGAGAUACAUGCACAGUCGGAAGGGGCAAAAAUAUACAGAAGGAUGUACCAGAAGCGAACACCAUAAAAAUGAGUGAGGGAGACUGCCUGUGGGAUCUCUGCUGCACUUUUGCUUCUCCUGAUCUUUGUCCCAUUUUACUGACAUUCCUGCCAAAGUAGCACAAGCAAGAUGCAGGGCAUUCGUCAAUAUGCCGUGCCCUGUAAUUCAGGCUAGUCCACUCAUUAAGUAGCGUACAUGUGCAUUGAACAUUCACCUUUGAUUUUUUUUUUUUGAAAAAAAAUCUAACUGUCCAUUUUUCUCAUAAAUGAGUGGUCCAUCUGAUGAGUUUAUCGAGAAUCAUUGUCCAGGUAAGCAUGGGCUUAAGUACCUUUUUAGAAAGUUUGCUAUGAUUGGUAUUUUUGUGCUUCAAAAAAUCAGGAAGUUUCUUAUUUUGAUUCAAGCUAGGAAAGCAAGUACAAACCGAUUAGGAAAGUAAGAGUGUUGGGGUCAAAUAAGGGAAUAGGAGUUUCUAUAAAAAAAGCUGAAGCGGUGUAUGUAUGGAGUAGUUUUACAAGAAAUACAAAAAGGAGAAAAAGACUGUCCCUC
Long non-coding RNA from Magnolia sinica, 1560 nucleotides. RefSeq lists it as uncharacterized. The record is from RefSeq and is a predicted model, not a curated record. The transcript has 2 exons. Lineage: Eukaryota; Viridiplantae; Streptophyta; Magnoliopsida; Magnoliales; Magnoliaceae.